UACGGAGGCUCCAAGCGUUAUCCGGAUUUAUUGGGCUUAAAGGGUGCGUAGGUGGUUUUUUAAGUCAGGUGUGAAAGACGGCAGCUUAACUGUCGCAGUGCCUUUGAUACUGAAGAACUUGAAUACACUAGAGGUAGGCGGAAUGUGACAAGUAGCGGUGAAAUGCAUAGAUAUGUCACAGAACACCGAUUGCGAAGGCAGCUUACUAUGGUGUCAUUGACGCUGAGGCGCGAGAGCGUGGGGAGCGAACAGG
This 253-nucleotide ribosomal RNA is filed under the name uncultured bacterium. RNAcentral's name for it is "partial 16S ribosomal RNA". It matches the Rfam family "Bacterial small subunit ribosomal RNA", at positions 524 to 776 of the family's 1533-position model. The record is from RNAcentral.